This 77-nucleotide transfer RNA is filed under the name Osedax symbiont Rs1. RNAcentral describes it as "tRNA-Met". It matches the Rfam family "tRNA". From Rfam's summary of the family: Transfer RNA (tRNA) molecules are approximately 80 nucleotides in length. Their secondary structure includes four short double-helical elements and three loops (D, anti-codon, and T loops). Lineage: Bacteria; Pseudomonadati; Pseudomonadota; Gammaproteobacteria; Oceanospirillales; Oceanospirillaceae. RNAcentral also lists the same sequence under 6 other names. The record is from RNAcentral.
GGCAAUGUAGCUCAGCUGGUUAGAGCAUCGCAUUCAUAAUGCGAGGGUCGCAGGUUCGAGUCCCGCCAUUGCCACCA